Molecule: ribosomal RNA, 253 nt
Filed under: uncultured bacterium
Lineage: Bacteria
Description: partial 16S ribosomal RNA
Rfam family: Bacterial small subunit ribosomal RNA
Source: RNAcentral
UACGUAGGCAGCAAGCGUUGUUCGGAAUUACUGGGCGUAAAGAGUGUGUAGGCGGUGUUCUAAGUCUGGUGUGAAAUCUAUGGGCUCAACUCAUAGUCUGCAUCGGAAACUGCCGGGCUUGAGUGUGGGAGAGGUGAGUGGAAUUCCUGGUGUAGCGGUGAAAUGCGUAGAUAUCAGGAGGAACACCUGUGGCGAAAGCGGCUCACUGGACCAUAACUGACGCUGAUGCACGAAAGCUAGGGGAGCAAACAGG